This is a long non-coding RNA of Cotesia glomerata, 806 nucleotides long. RefSeq lists it as uncharacterized. The record is from RefSeq and is a predicted model, not a curated record. The transcript is spliced from 4 exons. Lineage: Eukaryota; Metazoa; Arthropoda; Insecta; Hymenoptera; Braconidae.
UAAUGGGAUUAAUCAACCCAGAAUGUGUCCGCCAUAGUUGUUGCACUUAGUCUGACUAUUAUUUUUCCCACAUGACAACUUAAGAUCAAUGUUCUUCACUGUUGCUCUGACACAUCAUUAAUACCACAAUGUUUUAGCACUAGUCUAAUAACCUAUAAUCUUCACCACGCUGAGAGGACGUCAUUAAUAUUACAUGUAACAUAAUACAACUAAACCGACAUCCAGUGAUAUGACAGCAAAUAUACACUGACCGUAUAUUUAUAUCAUAUUUUAUAUAAAAUGACAUGCAGUAAUGCUCCUGUCGAUGGAUUCACAUAUCAUUCUAAAAAUUAUCGUUAUUAUCAUCAGACACGUUUGUACACACAGUUUACUUCCUACAUCCCAGAGAAGCGAUAUAAUAAUAUUAUAUUAUAUAUAUAUAUAUACAAGACACUCUCACCCACAUAUAUUAUGUGUACGCAUAUAUAUUAUCUAGCUUUUUCGAAUAUCACGACACCCGUGACAUGGCGGGAUACCGUGAACGCGUGAUUGGUCGUAAUUUUUUAUCACUGCAGAGUUUAGCGUGUUUUGAAAACUAAAAUUAUUUAUACACUUAAUAAUUUAUCUCUCAGAUGCAAGACACUAAAAUUAAAAAUCUUGCAUUUAUAUAUCACAGACAAUCACUGAAACUAGAAUUGGAUUUUCUUCGCUCAUGCUCACUAUUAAUAAAGCUCUUGUUAAUGAAGCGGCUAUGGAAGCAGCCUGGCUCUCACUGGUUAAACGUCAGUUAAAUCUGGCCAAAGGGUGACGGCGUAUCUUCGCGCAGG